AGGCUCCGCAAUGGCCCUGCCGCUUCCUUCACCCAUACCCUUGGGAAGAAUUCUGGCGAAGAAUCCACACGCAGCUGUCUCUUCCGCAGAGUGGCUGAGUGGCCGUCUGCAGGGUCCGAGGCGCGGCCGGGAGCAGACACGCUGCGAUCCGGUGUCAAGGGACCAUUUCCCACGUCAGAGGUUAGUCGCUUUAAAGCUUCUUAACAACACUGGAAACUUGAAUUUCUCCUAUUUAACAAUGAUUUAAAACAGGAAGAAAUAGUGGUUUUGGUGAUUACUAAGUAUUCUCUAUAACCCCUGCAAAGAAAUGUGCUUCUUGAACUUGCAUUAAGAAAAACAUUAAAGGCUCAUUAAGGUUAACUAGAUUAGAUGGUUAAAAGCAAAUGACACUAAUUAUUAUUUACCUUUAUUUAGAUAAGGUAUUUAGAGAGAAAAAUGAAAGGAUCCAUUUAGGAGUUUUGUAAUUUACCAAGAACGAACGAGGUAAAUUGCUAACGCCCCCAGACCCCGUUACUAGGGAUUGGACCUUGGACCUUUGCACUGAGCAACAUUCAGACCUUUAGAGCUUUUUUCUUUAGCUUUCACUUUUUAUUUUUAUUUUAGGUUCUCACCAAGUCACUAAGCUGCUUAGGCUGGCCCUGGACCUGUGGACCUCCUACUUCAGUAUCCUGGGGGUGCUGGAAACACAGCCAGGUUUCGGAUUCAUCAUAAAAGAGCACAUUCCUUUAAUUAGGGAUGGGAAUUCUGAAUGCUCUUUCCUAGGCAGAUCUGUGAGGCGGGCAGAUCCUUAACUUUCCCUUCUCUUGCUGCGUCUUCGGUUACCCAGAGCAUCAAACAGCCUUACCAUCUCCAAAAGUGACUGAUGAAAGAUGGUGCCCUUCGUAUCCCGAGACCUUGCAGUUAGUCAGUGGCCAUCGCCUCAGAGGUGGGUAAGGCAACACUGUGUAGCUGGCAGAAAUUCUCUCUGUAAAUCAGCUCUCAUGACUACCUUGCUCCCCUUCUGCCGGUUGGGAAAGACUCCCUGGAACACUGUUCAUCCUCAUCUCCCGCACUGCCAGUUAACCUCCACACCAGGGGACGGCACCACCACCUGCCCCUCUUCGGACGCUUCCCGUGGCCGUGAUGAGUGUGAGCCCCUCCCUGCAGACAGCGAGAAACUGCCCGGGCCCCUCGGAGGUGCGGUGAGUUGUGGCUGGGGAAACAGAAAAUGGACCGAGCAGCAGGCCCCUCUGGACCGCUAUUCACAGAUGACGUCGGAGGAUUCAGUACACUCUGACAAAGCACUUUCCCUAAGUGUAGCUGGAGAAGCUGGGGCACCGCACGGGAGAGUUUCCCCUUUGCCUAUGUGACAGAGAAGGACUGUGUAGUCAGGUCUGCAACAGAAGCCUCACCCCGGUAGGGACCCAACAGCGAGCUCUCCACAGAUUUGCACUUGGGUCCAGAAUCUGCCUUUGCUUUGAUGUGGAGAAUCUUCUUUUUAUGGAAAAGAAGUAGAGGAGGAUUUCAGUUCGCAAAUACUGGUGUAAAAGGAAGGCAAAGGACUGCCCUGCCAAGUGAUGAAAAGAAAUGCCGUCCUCUUUCUCUGGGGUGGCGGGCUUUAGGCUCAAGCGUGGGAACAGGGCUGGAGCCUCAGGUCUGGACUGGGGUCUGUGGGGCUCAGUGGACCGGAAGGGCGAGCUCUGCGGCUGCACCGGAAGCCAGGGACAGGAAGUGCGGGGCAACUUGCUGCAGUCUGGUCCCGCCAAGCCUGACACCCAUGUGCUUCCGUGUUCCUGGCCGCUCAUUUCCUUGUGUCUCUGAUGAAAAAGAAAACCGAGUUCAUCUGGGGCCCAUUUAUAAACUUUUCAAGCCAUAAUAAUUUUUAAAAAAUUAAGUUUAUUGGUACAUUUUAGGUAUACAACUACAUUCAUCAUUGGGAAUUUGCAUCUUUACAUGAUGUAUCUUGGUUCUUAUUUUUUCCCCAUUCCCCUGCCCUCCCUUCCACCUCUCCACCUCUCCCUAUUUAUAAAGACUUUGUUUCCAUUUUUCAUUUUCUCAUAUUUCUUCCUUUCCCCUACCCCUCCCAGUUCCCCUUCCCCUUUGGACCUUUUCUUCCUAUUUCACAGAAUCAUACCACAGUGAUAUAUGCACACCCAUGUUUUUAGCAGCACAGUCUGUAAUAGCUAAAACUUGGAAACAGCCCAAUUGACCAUCAACAGGAGACUGGAUAAAGGAAAUGUACAUUUUAAAAACCAAAAUGGAGUACUACUCAGCCACAAAGAAGGAGAAAUUAGACACAUAAUAUUUUGAUUAUGAUUGCUUCGCAGUAUAUUUUAACACUUGGGAGAACAAUUUUCAUUUAUAUUUUUCCUUCCAAAUUUAGCUUAAGAAUCUGUAUUUCAUGUAAAUUUUAUAAUGACUUUGAGUUCCUCAGAAGAGCAUCCAUUUAUAACCAUGAUGGAAAGCUCUGAAAGCCGAGAUUUAUAUUGCUCUGCCAGAGACAUCCCAAAGUGAGUUUCUGUCAUUUGAAUCACUUAACCAAUUCAGGAAAUCUGUCAGGUAAAUGCUUUUAUUAUCUCAUCAUACAGAAACACGAAUGGGUAGAAGAACAAAGUAAUUUGACAAAUUUGGUCAAAUUUGGUCUCAUUGAAAUGGCUGAGAAUAAAACCCAGACUUUUAAGAUUUAUAGUCUAUUUUUAACUACUAUGAUAAAAUAAAAUAUUUCCUUUGUUUCAUUGUUGUUACAUUAAUCCUCAAAUAUUUGUGGCA
This is a long non-coding RNA of Fukomys damarensis (Damara mole-rat), 2748 nucleotides long. The record is from Ensembl. Lineage: Eukaryota; Metazoa; Chordata; Mammalia; Rodentia; Bathyergidae.